Molecule: non-coding RNA, 360 nt
Organism: Limanda limanda (common dab)
Lineage: Eukaryota; Metazoa; Chordata; Actinopteri; Pleuronectiformes; Pleuronectidae
Source: the annotation of a RefSeq genome assembly
AUGUUUCCUGUAGCUGUGCUGCUGCUGUUGGCAGCUGGAUCAUAUGUGAAGUGUGAAACUUUGACGCAGCCAGCCUCUGUGACUGUGCAGCCAGGUCAACCUCUGACCAUCAGCUGCCAGGUCUCUUAUUCUGUCAGCAGUGUUGGGAAGGAUACUUUCAAAACCAGCUAUGCUACAGCUUGGAUCAGACAGCCUGCAGGAAAAGGACUGGAGUGGAUUGGGUGGAAACAUACAACAGCUUCAUACUAUAAAGAUUCACUAAAGAACAAGUUCAGUAUCGAAUUAGACACUUCCAGCAAAAUAGUGACUGUAAAGGGACAGAACGUGCAGCCUGGAGACACUGCUGUGUAUUACUGUGCC